This 155-nucleotide microRNA precursor is filed under the name Populus trichocarpa (black cottonwood). Its description in RNAcentral is "MIR2912 microRNA precursor family". It matches the Rfam family "MIR2912 microRNA precursor family". The record is from Rfam by way of RNAcentral. Lineage: Eukaryota; Viridiplantae; Streptophyta; Magnoliopsida; Malpighiales; Salicaceae.
UCUAGAACUUGAGAUAUGAGCUGAACACUGAACAGUGUCUGGGCUGCAGGACAGAUUCGGACUUCUUUGUUGUUGCUACAAUUUGGACUUGAAAACGGCCUUGUUAAAUCUUGGGCUCCCAUGACAGUUGUAGGCCUAUGUCUUACCUUUCCAUC